UUGAAAGGGAAACGAUUGAAGUCAGUCAUGCCAGUGAGAAAUCAGCUUACAGGCUACUGUGGGUGCACUUUUUCGCAAGGCAGGUUAACAUCGGUUUUUGUUGCGUCAUAAUGAUUGUAGGAAGGUGGCUCCUUAGGGAGUGUUAUAGCCUACUUUAGAUGGCGCGACGAGGACUGAGGAUUGCAGCGAAUGCCUUUGGCUACGGAUCUUUUCUCUGUCGAUCUUCAAUUGAUCGUCAGCUUGCUGACGAGCGGUUGAUGGGUUUACAAUAGGGUGGAAUCCGAUAAAUUCGUUAAGGAUGUUGACGUA
RNAcentral lists this ribosomal RNA (309 nucleotides) under uncultured Glomeromycotina. RNAcentral describes it as "LSU rRNA". Lineage: Eukaryota; Fungi; Glomeromycota. The record is from RNAcentral.